This is a non-coding RNA of Pelobates cultripes (western spadefoot toad), 579 nucleotides long. NCBI's taxonomy places the organism in Eukaryota, Metazoa, Chordata, Amphibia, Anura, Pelobatidae. The record is from the annotation of a GenBank genome assembly.
GUUAAAUACUGAUUCGUCCAGAAACUAGAGGCCGUUCUACAAUGGCCAUUGCCCAGUGGGUUAAAAGCCAUACAGAGGUUUAUUGGUUACUCUAUUACAGGAGAUUCAUCAAAGGUUUCUCUUCGGUAAUAGCCCCCAUCACCAAUAUGACACGCAAGGGGCUAAUUGUACUAUAUGGCCUAAAGAAGCAUUUGAGCUUCAUAAACAAAUAUUCGCAUCUGGUGACAUAUUAAGACAUCCUGACACUAGUAAAUCUUUCCUACUUGAGGUUGACCCCUCCGAGACAGGGGUCGGGGCUGUUCUUUCUCAGAGAGAGAGUCAGGACGCCCCUUUGCAUCCUGGUGGUUACUUCUCCAGAAAGUUGUCUCCUGCGAAGCGUAACUAUGACAUUGGUAAUAGAGAACUGUUAGCCAUCAUACUAAGGUUUAAUGAAUGGCGACAUCUUUUGGAGGGUUCCAAGGAUCCCAUUCUGAUUAUUACUGAUCACAAGAACCUGGCAUAUAUUGGGGAUGCCAAACGACUGUCUUCUAGACAAACUAGAUGGUCAUUAUUUUUGUCUCGCUUUAACUUCAUUAUCAC